RNAcentral lists this ribosomal RNA (609 nucleotides) under Hanseniaspora uvarum. RNAcentral describes it as "eukaryotic LSU rRNA". It matches the Rfam family "Eukaryotic large subunit ribosomal RNA", at positions 47 to 664 of the family's 3401-position model. The record is from RNAcentral. Lineage: Eukaryota; Fungi; Ascomycota; Saccharomycetes; Saccharomycodales; Saccharomycodaceae.
AAAGCGGAGGAAAAGAAACCAACUGGGAUUACCUUAGUAACGGCGAGUGAAGCGGUAAAAGCUCAAAUUUGAAAUCUGGUACUUUCAGUGCCCGAGUUGUAAUUUGUAGAAUUUGUCUUUGAUUAGGUCCUUGUCUAUGUUCCUUGGAACAGGACGUCAUAGAGGGUGAGAAUCCCGUUUGGCGAGGAUACCUUUUCUCUGUAAGACUUUUUCGAAGAGUCGAGUUGUUUGGGAAUGCAGCUCAAAGUGGGUGGUAAAUUCCAUCUAAAGCUAAAUAUUGGCGAGAGACCGAUAGCGAACAAGUACAGUGAUGGAAAGAUGAAAAGAACUUUGAAAAGAGAGUGAAAAAGUACGUGAAAUUGUUGAAAGGGAAGGGCAUUUGAUCAGACAUGGUGUUUUUUGCAUGCACUCGCCUCUCGUGGGCUUGGGCCUCUCAAAAAUUUCACUGGGCCAACAUCAAUUCUGGCAGCAGGAUAAAUCAUUAAGAAUGUAGCUACUUCGGUAGUGUUAUAGCUUUUUGGAAUACUGUUAGCCGGGAUUGAGGACUGCGCUUCGGCAAGGAUGUUGGCAUAAUGGUUAAAUGCCGCCCGUCUUGAAACCACGGACAUC